GCGGCGGUAAUUCAGUUGGUAGAAUGCCACCUUGCCAAGGUGGAUGUCACCGGUUCAAGCCCGGUCCGCCGCUCCA
RNAcentral lists this transfer RNA (76 nucleotides) under Candidatus Omnitrophota bacterium. RNAcentral describes it as "tRNA-Gly". It matches the Rfam family "tRNA". Rfam says of the family: Transfer RNA (tRNA) molecules are approximately 80 nucleotides in length. Their secondary structure includes four short double-helical elements and three loops (D, anti-codon, and T loops). Further hydrogen bonds mediate the characteristic L-shaped molecular structure. tRNAs have two regions of fundamental functional importance: the anti-codon, which is responsible for specific mRNA codon recognition, and the 3' end, to which the tRNAs corresponding amino acid is attached (by aminoacyl-tRNA synthetases). tRNAs cope with the degeneracy of the genetic code in two manners: having more than one tRNA (with a specific anti-codon) for a particular amino acid; and 'wobble' base-pairing, i.e. permitting non-standard base-pairing at the 3rd anti-codon position. Lineage: Bacteria; Pseudomonadati; Candidatus Omnitrophota. The record is from RNAcentral.